Hirundo rustica (Barn swallow) is the source of this 956-nucleotide long non-coding RNA. RefSeq lists it as uncharacterized. The record is from RefSeq and is a predicted model, not a curated record. The transcript has 5 exons. Lineage: Eukaryota; Metazoa; Chordata; Aves; Passeriformes; Hirundinidae.
AGGGUCCGGCACCAGCAGCCAAUCGGAGCCCACGCUGCCGGGCUAUAAAAGGUGGCUGCGCAGGCGUUUCCGCCUCUCUCGGUUAUGGCGGCGAGUCGGGGCGGCUGUGUGAGGACCAUCGGGGACCAUCCACCGCCAUCCUUCUUCGCUGGGGCACUCCCGCCGCUCGGCUCCGCCGCAUCGGCGCCCCGUGGGCAUCGCACCCGGCCGCGGCGCUUCAGUGCGCUCCGAAGGCUGCGAAGGGCAGCGCGGCCUUGCCCUCGCCCUCCUGAGGUCGGGCCCGGCCCUGGCAGCAUCCUGACAUAGAAGGUGAUCCUGGGCCAUGGGAUGGCUGGUGACGGCCUCAGCUUCAGGCAGGGGUCCUGGGUGUUCCAGAGCUCACCCAUCUGAUGGAUAAAUCCAGCAGUUACUCUGGAAAAGGGUGAGAACCUGUGAGCCCUGUCCCAAGGGCUUCAGCUUGCUUCCCAUAGGACCUGAGUUGUGGGGAAGCUGCAGUGUGGAGCAUGUCUAAGCAGAGGGUGAGCCAUCCCUGAGGGACUUGGUGCUGCAGUGCCAGCCUGUUCUUUCCUAGCCUUCUCCUCCAGAAGUGGGAGCUCUGCAGAGCCAGAUCCUGCCUCCUUCCAGAGCUAUGAGCUUCACCAAAUGGGAUCAGCCAUUCUGGGCUCCACAAACCUGCAGUGGAGGGAUAUUAAACUGGUUUGCCUCCAGGUGUUGCUCAAGCUCCCAUUCAGGUGCUCCACGUGGAAGAAGUCUGUUCCGUAAGAGUUUUCUCAGGAGGGGUCUGGCUAUCAAAUACUUGGUUAGAGCAGGAAACCAGUAAUCCCAAGGUGUAGUGAGUUUGAUCUCUGUACAGGCCAUUCACUUAAGAGCUGGACUCAGUGAUCCCUGUGAGUCCCUUCCGACUUGAAAUAUUCUCUGUGUGUGAUAAAAGUUUGAAUAAAUGCAAUUCAAGUGCU